Long non-coding RNA from Alligator sinensis (Chinese alligator), 1152 nucleotides. RefSeq lists it as uncharacterized. Lineage: Eukaryota; Metazoa; Chordata; Crocodylia; Alligatoridae. The transcript has 3 exons. The record is from RefSeq and is a predicted model, not a curated record.
CUGCCAGCAGCCAGAGAGUCAGGAGCUCCUGGAGUAAUGAUGCGAGAAGCAGUGAAAGCAGCAGGGAAAUGUCUCUCACAAAGAUAAUCCCAAGCAGCAUUCAAAGAGGUUCCCACUUUGUGGUUUGUGGUUUAUCACAAUGGUUACAGCACAUGGACAAACAGCUACUGUCCUUUUUAUCUCCGCCAGGUGGCGUCUCCAGCUGACGUCACCCGACCCCAGCUGAAUAUGAGCGCAGCUGACGAACCGCAUGGGUGGUUUCACCGCACACGUUUCCCCACGCCUUUCAGACCCUGCAGGAGGUAAGUGGGGGCUUUCUUUUGCUUUGGCCUGGGGUCCUCCUGUAACCCUGGCUCCCCUGGGACACUCACAAAGUUCAUUUACCUGAGAUUUACUUUUUUAACUGCACAAUAGUAAUAAAUAGCCUAGGAAUAAAUCUAAAGGAAAUGUGAGAUCCCAGCCUAUGUCCUGAAAUAGUGGGUUUCUCCUAAGCGACCAUUCACAGAGACUAAGUAUGCUGGAUGACAAAGCAGACUCUUCCUGGUGGGCUGCUACAAAUUAGUAGAAGGUCAACACAUAGUAAUCAGCAGGGAUCCUGGUUUUCUCCGAUUUAAAAAAAAUCCCCAGCUUUUGGAUAUAAAAAAUUAACCUCAGGUAAUCAGGGUGUAGUAACCUGUACUGUCAUCCAAGGGGAUGGGACAAACUAACCACAUCGAUACUGAAUGUCAUGUAUAUUUAGCAAAGACAAGGACAUCCAUGUUUAAAAUCAUGUCAGGUGGUCCUGUUUUACCUUUGGUCACACUCUAUGGAUAGAUGAUCCCAACCUGAGGGAGCUACUAGAUACAGAGAUUGCAGAAGUGAUCAUGGAACAUAACAAUUCCAAGAAAACAGCCUAGACACAUUGACUCAUUUUGUGUUCCAGCAUUUGACCCUAAAUGCCAAAUUCUACAGCUCUUAUGUUCACGAGGUCCCUUCCAGCCCAAAACUUCUGUGAAUCUGUGUGUGUAAAGGGAACUCCUAUUGACCUGCUUAAAGAUCAUAGUUUCAUAGUUUCAUAGUUUUAGGGUCGGAAGGGACCUAAUAGAUCUUCUAGCCCGACCCCCCGCCAGGGCGGGAGAACAACAAAAGAACCCUAAACAAAAAAACGGGACU